UGGGGAAUAUUGCACAAUGGGCGCAAGCCUGAUGCAGCGACGCCGCGUGAGGGAUGACGGCCUUCGGGUUGUAAACCUCUUUCAGCAUCGACGAAGCGCAAGUGACGGUAGAUGCAGAAGAAGCACCGGCCAACUACGUGCCAGCAGCCGCGGUAAUACGUAGGGUGCGAGCGUUGUCCGGAAUUACUGGGCGUAAAGAGCUCGUAGGUGGUUUGUCGCGUUGUUCGUGAAAACCGGGGGCUUAACCCUCGGCGUGCGGGCGAUACGGGCAGACUGGAGUACUGCAGGGGAGACUGGAAUUCCUGGUGUAGCGGUGGAAUGCGCAGAUAUCAGGAGGAACACCGGUGGCGAAGGCGGGUCUCUGGGCAGUAACUGACGCUGAGGAGCGAAAGCGUGGGGAGCGAACAGG
This 409-nucleotide ribosomal RNA is filed under the name Bacillota bacterium. RNAcentral's name for it is "Firmicutes bacterium partial 16S ribosomal RNA". It matches the Rfam family "Bacterial small subunit ribosomal RNA", at positions 355 to 776 of the family's 1533-position model. Lineage: Bacteria; Bacillati; Bacillota. The record is from RNAcentral.